RNAcentral lists this unclassified non-coding RNA (19 nucleotides) under Mus musculus (house mouse). Its description in RNAcentral is "oocyte_clustered_small_RNA32". Lineage: Eukaryota; Metazoa; Chordata; Mammalia; Rodentia; Muridae. The record is from RNAcentral.
UGAGUGUGUCAUAAUAGGG